UACGAAGGGGGCUAGCGUUGUUCGGAUUUACUGGGCGUAAAGCGCGCGUAGGCGGGUUGCUAAGUCAGGGGUGAAAUGCCGGGGCUCAACCCCGGAACUGCCUUUGAUACUGGCAAUCUGGAGAUCGGGAGAGGUGAGUGGAAUUCCGAGUGUAGAGGUGAAAUUCGUAGAUAUUCGGAGGAACACCAGAAGCGAAGGCGGCUCACUGGCCCGAUACUGACGCUGAGGCGCGAAAGCGUGGGGAGCAAACAGG
RNAcentral lists this ribosomal RNA (253 nucleotides) under uncultured bacterium. Its description in RNAcentral is "partial 16S ribosomal RNA". It matches the Rfam family "Bacterial small subunit ribosomal RNA", at positions 524 to 776 of the family's 1533-position model. The record is from RNAcentral.